GACGAACGCUGGCGGCGUGCUUAACACAUGCAAGUCGAACGGAAAGGCGCUGCUUUUGUGGGGUGCUCGAGUGGCGAACGGGUGAGUAACACGUGAGUAUCCUGCCCUUGACUUUGGGAUAACUUCAGGAAACUGGGGCGAAUACCGGAUAGGAGCUCCUGCUGCAUGGGGGGGGUUGGAAAGUUUCGGUGGUUGGGGAUGGAUUCGAGGCUUACCAGCUUGUUGGUGGGGUAGGGGUUGACCAAGGCUUUGAAGGGUAGCCGGCCUGGGAGGGGGACCGGCCACCAUGGGACUGAGGUAGGGCGCAGACUCCUACGGGAGGCAGCAGUGGGGAACAUUGCAGAACAGGCGGACGCCAGAUGCAGCGACGCCGCGAGCGGGAUGCCGGCCUUCGGGUUGUAAACCGCUUUCUACUGUGACGAAGCGUGAGUGACGGUAAUGGGUCAAGAAGCACCGGCUAACUACGUG
RNAcentral lists this ribosomal RNA (468 nucleotides) under uncultured bacterium. Its description in RNAcentral is "partial 16S ribosomal RNA". It matches the Rfam family "Bacterial small subunit ribosomal RNA", at positions 28 to 507 of the family's 1533-position model. The record is from RNAcentral.